RNAcentral lists this ribosomal RNA (472 nucleotides) under uncultured bacterium. RNAcentral's name for it is "bacterial SSU rRNA". It matches the Rfam family "Bacterial small subunit ribosomal RNA", at positions 335 to 802 of the family's 1533-position model. The record is from RNAcentral.
ACUCCUACGGGAGGCAGCAGUGGGGAAUAUUGCACAAUGGGCGCAAGCCUGAUGCAGCCAUGCCGCGUGUGUGAAGAAGGCCUUCGGGUUGUAAAGCACUUUCAGUCGUGAGGAAGGUAGUGUAGUUAAUAGCUGCAUUAUUUGACGUUAGCGACAGAAGAAGCACCGGCUAACUCCGUGCCAGCAGCCGCGGUAAUACGGAGGGGGUUAGCGUUGUUCGGAAUUACUGGGCGUAAAGCGCGCGUAGGCGGACUGGAAAGUUGGGGUGAAUCCCAGGGCUCAACCCUGGAACUGCCUCCAAAACUAUCAGUCUAGAGUUCGAGAGAGGUGAGUGGAAUUCCGAGUGUAGAGGUGAAAUUCGUAGAUAUUCGGAGGAACACCAGUGGCGAAGGCGGCUCACUGGCUCGAUACUGACGCUGAGGUGCGAAAGUGUGGGGAGCAAACAGGAUUAGAUACCCUGGUAGCUACGAGU